This 301-nucleotide ribosomal RNA is filed under the name uncultured bacterium. RNAcentral's name for it is "partial 16S ribosomal RNA". It matches the Rfam family "Bacterial small subunit ribosomal RNA", at positions 509 to 807 of the family's 1533-position model. The record is from RNAcentral.
CAGUAGCCGCGGGAAUACGAGGGGGGCAAGCGUUGUUCGGAAUUAUUGGGCGUAAAGGGUGCGUAGGCGGUUUCGUAAGUCUUAUGUGAAAUCUAUGGGCUCAACCCAUAGUCUGCAUGGGAAACUGCGAGGCUUGAGGAUGGGAGAGGUGAGUGGAAUUUCCGGUGUAGCGGUGAAAUGCGUAGAUAUCGGAAGGAACACCUGUGGCGAAAGCGGCUCACUGGACCAUUUCUGACGCUGAUGCACGAAAGCUAGGGGAGCAAACAGGAUUAGAUACCCCGGUAGUCCCUGUCUCUUAUAC